GAAAUCGCCGCCAGGGCUAGGCUGGUGUUUGUCCUAAGUGGGUACUUGCUUGGGUUGAGAAAUCACAUUUUGGCUAUUCCCCGACUUGAACCAGGGGAUAGAAAUCGUAGUCACCGGCUGGGCGCAGCGGCUCAUGCUGUAAUCCUGGCAGUUUGGGAGGCCGAGGCGGGCAGAUUAUUGAGGUUAGGAGUUCGAGACCAGCCUGGUCAAUAUGAUGAAACACCGCCUCUAGUAAAAAUACAAAAAUUAUCCGGGCGUGGUGGCGAGCGCCUGUAAUCCCAGCUACUCAGGAGGCUGAGGCAGUAGAAUCCCUUGAACCUGGGGUGCGGAGGUUGCAGUGAGCCAAGAUCGCGCCACUGCACUCCAGGCUGGGCGACACGGCGAGACUCUGUCUCAAAACAAAACAAAAGGAAAAGAAGAGAAAAGAAAAAGAAACGCAGGCACCCUGAAAUCGAAACUUGUUAGGACCAACAAGCCAACGACAGACGAAUCUGCGGGGUCCUGCGACAGACACGCCAGCCCCGCCGCCACAGCACAGGGUUCUGGAGGUCGAGCUGUUCUGCGGGUUCUGCGGCGGCGCUGGGAAGAGACGGCGCCCGGGCAGCUCCCCUGUCACCGGCUUGGAGGAGCGGCGGGCUCCCCUAGCCCAGCGCCGCCGCCGCCGCCCGGGAACGCCAGGCUCACCCCAGCUGGGGAAGCUCCGAAUCCCUCAGAUCGGCGACCUGAGUGCUGUCGCCCCGAGAAAAUGGAGGCAUCGAGCAACGAGCUGUGCUGAGACCGAGAGACCUCAGUUCUGCGAAAUGUCGGUGCCUGGAGCUUGCGAAUGACUGCGGCCGGCGGGUUGUCAAGGACAACAUUCCUUAUGGCGCAACCAACAGCGCUGUCACCAAGAAACUGGACUCUGAGAAAAAAGAGGGUUUCGGCCACCGAGAAACUCCGUGCCACAUGUGCCGUGACAGCAAAACCGCCCGCUCCGCGCCGCUGGUGAAAGAGCUAACGAACGCCAGGUGCUGCGACAGUGACACCGGGACUAGAAGGCCUCGGAUGGAGAAUGGGACGCCCAGAGCAAGCAGGAAAACGUUUUGUUUGGCUCAACUAGCGCUGUCGCAACCGGAAAACUGUCAGGCCAGUGCUGCUGCGGAUGUGAGAAACCGGUGAUCCGAAGGCGGAGUGGCGCUGGGCGCUGGACUCGCUGGUGUGAAAAUCUGGCUGCUCUAGGACCCGGCAAGCGCGGGCACCAGGCGAACGCCAGCGACUUUGCCAGACAAAUGCAUGUCUUUUUUGGUCGCCAUUCAAAGAUGCAGCCGGCAGUCAGCCCCGGCUCUGAGAAACAAGUGGAGGUGUCAGCCAUAAACCCUCCGUUCAGGGAAAAGAGAGUCGCUGCGACGGAUCGACUGGCCGUUGGGUGGAACUUUCUUUGGUGGCCUAGUGACUAGAAAAUAAAAACGAAAACGAAAUAAAAAACUGCUACUGACAUUACUCCCACGCUCCCUCCUCAAGUCAGUGGCUUCAGGCUUAAGAAAACCUGUAUUUUUCUUGGCUGAUCCGUGAUCCCUAAUUACUGAGGGCCCCGCGACCCACCAAGUGCGAUUCGCAGAGGGAAAGGAGCUGGAAUAAGGAUCCAGAAUGGGACGGAUUUGGCUCCUCCAGGAAGAAAGCAAAACAAAUGCAGGUCGCGAACACUUUACAUUGCAGGAAGCUGCUCUUCCAGUGGCCGCGGCUGGGUCCUUCCACACCACCUCUCUGUCCUAGGCCUUCGUCCCGGUUCAGCCCUCACGGAUUCUAGGCUAGCGGUCAACAACCGCAUCCCUCCGGAACCUGGAAACUCUAGGUCCGAGAUCUCGGUGAAGAAUGAAAGGCACAGCGCCGCUCAACCCAGGCUUCAGGCCUGCCCCGCUGGUCCCGUCCCUUCCCUGUGGGAUGGAACUCUGUGGGAAUCGCUCCUUAUUCUGAUGGUUCACUCAUUCAGAUGUCCUUGAUAUUUGGGGAUAUUUCUAAAACAGCUGGGGAGAAAAAUGGACUGCGAGGCUCCGGUGUUGGACGUGAAAUUGGCAGUGAGACAUCCGCCUCUAAGCCCAGGGAAAAGCUUAAAUUGUGGUUCUCUGUCUCUAGCACCGUGAUCUUUGAAAUGCGUUAUUGAUUUUCUUCUUUCUUCUGGGAAAUGCAAUGCAGGUGAACUGGUCCUGCAUGCCAGUAAAACUACUCAUGUCAGCUGUUCUGCAGGAUCCCAUGAGAAGGUGAGUCACCAGAAAAUGCAGUUUCCACAUCCUGAUGAUUUCAUCUCCCUACCCCAACUGAUCAAUUUCUCCAAUUUUCCAGCCUCUCACCCUCCACAAUCCCCUUAAAAACUGUAGCCCAGAACUCUCUGGAAUGAUGAAUUUGAAGGUUUGCUCCUGUCUCCUCACUCAGAAGCCUGUAAUCAUUAAACUCUUUCUCUGAUGCAAACUCUGCUGUCUCAGUGUAAUUGGUAUGUAAGUGUGCAGCAGGCAUAUGAAUCUGUUGGUCCUGUAACAGUUGGGAUGCAGUGGCACAAUUGUAGCUCACUGUAAUCUCUACCUCCUACACCUAAGGGAACCUUACCACCUCAGCACUCGGAAUAGCUAGGACUUUAGGUCUGUGUGCUACCACCCAUGGCUAAUUUAUAAAAUAAUUUCUUUGUAGAGACAGGAUCUUUCUAUAUAGCCUGGGCUGGUCUCAAACUCCUGGCCUCAAGGUAUCCUCCCCACUCUGCAUCACAAAGAGCUGUCAUUACAUGUGUGAGAUACCAUACCCUGCCCAUGGUAGAAUAUUAACACAUGGGUGUGAAAUGUUGGCUUCAGUCUGGCAUGUUAUUACUUUAUUAACAGUAAAGAAUAAUAUCUGAUCAUGAAAUUGUUUUUUUUUGUAAAUAGAAUAUUUUCUAUUUACAUUGAUGCUUUUGUAAAUAGAAUAUUUGACUCUGAUGAAGACAUAUUAUAAUUUCACUAUGGAUAUGACCUGAAAUGGAAAAAAUUGACUUACAGAAAAAAUACACCAAAGAAGUCACCAUUUUAUAUUUGUUCUUAUUACAAUUAUCUUUCAAGCCAUAAAAAACAAAAAUUAGUGAUUUUAUUACCAACUGAGAAGAUUAUUUUCUGCCAAGCAAUCUCUAAACAUUAACUUUUACUAGGAAUGUAUUCAUGAAAGGGACUUUGUAAAAUAGGAGCAAAUUUGACCUCUUAUUUAAUCAUUCAGAGAUGAAAUAAAAUAUAAUACAUUAUUUGAAAAGAUAUCCAGGAAGCAGGAAGUACAGUCAGGGAUCCCAGGAAUGGGUGUGGUGAUGUCUGUUGCACCAGGGCUUAGAGGGCAGGAUCUUUCCUCUAGAAACUCUGUGUGUCAGGCAUGCCUAGACAAAAUACACUUAUAUUUGAUGUUUUAGCAUAUCAAAGAGGUAUUGCUUGGUUUAAAGAUGAGGCUCAGUGAGUUUACACCACAGUCCAAGAUCACAAAGGUAGUUCAUGCUGGAGCUGGAUUGAAGUCCCAGGUUAUCAGGCAUUCAUAUCAAGUAGGGAAAUGAGUAAAGAAAUAAUUAGGUUGGGUUUUGAAAAAGAAGAAUCCUAUGCCUUACAUAAAAUUGUACCUUAAAAAUUUUUUUGGCUGGGCGUGGUGGCUCUUGCCUGUAAUCCCAGCACUUUGGGAGGCCGAGGCAGGCGGAUUACAAGGUCAGGAGAUCGAGACCAUCCUGGCUAACACGGUGAAACCCCGUCUCUACUAAAAAUACAAAAAAUUAUCCGGUGCGGUGGUGGGCGCCUGUAGUCCCAGCUACUCCGGAGGCUGAGGCAGGAGAAUGGCGUGAACCCGGGAGGCGGAGUUUGCAGCGAGCGGAGAUCGCGCCAUUGCACUCCAGCCUGGGCGACAGACCGAGACUCCAUCUCAAAAAACAUAAAAAUAAAAAAAAGGGCAAAUAUGUUGAGCUAAUAUGAUGCUUUUUACAGUAUUUUUUUUCAAGACCCUUAUAUGUUAUGUGAUUAUAUGCAUUUUUUUAAGUUAUUCUCCUUCCUCUGUUAUUCCUACUUCCACUGCAAUUCCUCUCAUCAGUAACUACCAGUUUUAACAUUACAUUAUCCAAAAAAGAGGUGGAUGGAGUCUCGGCUGCAUAUGCUAAUGUUGCACCUUGGACGAGUGAUGUAAUGCCUUUUGCCAUUUUGCAUUUCCAAAUAUAUU
This 4182-nucleotide long non-coding RNA is filed under the name Homo sapiens (human). RNAcentral describes it as "non-protein coding lnc-ANXA2R-1:30". Lineage: Eukaryota; Metazoa; Chordata; Mammalia; Primates; Hominidae. The record is from RNAcentral.